GGUGCUGCGUUAAUGCUUUUUGCUCGUUCUGUGUCAAUUUGCAGCCUGGCUCGUGGUUUCCCCUGGUGCUGGGGAGUGGAGGCGAGUUGUGCUUCCUGCCGGGAGAGAGAAGGGCCUUGGGAAGCUGCUCCAUGAGCCACAGCUGUGCCGAGCCCGGGAGUCUGUCCAGCAGGAUGUGGAGUGCCACCAUGUCCCCGAGGUCACCCUUUCUGCUGUUGGGAGAGCAUGAGGUGGAUGGAGAGGAUCCCCAGGCAUCUGCAGGCAAAAGGGACUGGCACAACUGCGAUUUUUCUCCAGCUCUCCUAAGGUGGACUUUCAGGGUACCAUGGGUAAUGUGCCAGCUCUCCUGCUGGAGUUUUUGUCUUCUGCUAUAUUUGAACAUCAAGAGUAAAACUACAGUCAGGACGUGAAUGCAAGAACCUGCCAAGGAACCAAUGGCCAAGAUGAUUGAUGAGUGCAGGACCUGAGAGAACCACCUUGAAUGACAACCUUAGGUUUAAAAGAUGGCCGUUGCCUUUGAAGGAGAAAAUCUGGAAAGCAGGAAGGAAGAAAAGAAGCCACCUGACUCCUCCCUGAGCCCCAGACA
Long non-coding RNA from Pipra filicauda (Wire-tailed manakin), 586 nucleotides. RefSeq lists it as uncharacterized. Lineage: Eukaryota; Metazoa; Chordata; Aves; Passeriformes; Pipridae. The record is from RefSeq and is a predicted model, not a curated record. The transcript is spliced from 3 exons.